GGAGAGUUUGAUCCUGGCUCAGGACGAACGCUGGCGGCGUGCAUAAAACAUGCAAGUCGAACGGGCCCAAAGCCGCAAGGCUGAGGGCUAGUGGCGAACGGCUGAGUAACACGUAGGUGACCUGCCCCGAAGUGGGGGACAACUCUCCGAAAGGAGAGCUAAUACCGCAUGUGACCAUCGGUUCAUUCCGGUGAUCAAAGUCGCAAGACGCUUUGGGAGGGGCCUGCGGCGGAUCAGCUUGUUGGUGGGGUAAUGGCCUACCAAGGCUACGAUCCGUAGCUGGUCUGAGAGGAUGGCCAGCCAGACUGGGACUGAGACACGGCCCAGACUCCUACGGGAGGCAGCAGUUAGGGAUCUUGUGCAAUGGGGGAAACCCUGACACAGCAACGCCGCGUGAGGGAUGAAGGCCUUCGGGUCGUAAACCUCUUUUCUGAGGGAAGAAACCUGACGGUACCUCAGGAAUAAGCAACGGCUAACUACGUGCCAGCAGCCGCGGUAAUACGUAGGUUGCGAGCGUUGUCCGGAAUCACUGGGCGUAAAGCGCACGCAGGCGGCUUCGGAAGUCCAAGGUGAAAGCCCUGGGCCCAACCCAGGGAGGCCCUUGGAAACUCCGGAGCUCGAAGGCGGGAGAGGCAGAUGGAAUUUCCGGUGUAGCGGUAAAAUGCGUAGAUACCGGAAGGAACACCAGUGGCGAAAGCGAUCUGCUGGCCCGCUCUUGACGCUCAGGUGCGAAAGCUAGGGGAGCGACCGGGAUUAGAUACCCCGUUAGUCCUAGCCGUAAACGAUGGUCACUAGGUGUUGUCGGUAUCGACCCCGGCAGUGCCGUAGCUAACGCAUUAAGUGACCCGCCUGGGGAGUACGACCGCAAGGUUAAAACUCAAAGGAAUUGACGGGGGCCCGCACAAGCAGCGGAGCGUGCGGUUCAAUUCGAUGGUACGCGAAGAACCUUACCCAGACUUGACAUGCAGGUGGUACCGAGCCGAAAGGUGAGGGACCCGCAAGGGAGCCUGCAAUGGUGUUGCACGGCCGUCGUCAGCUCGUGUCGUGAGANNNNNNNNNNNNNNNNNNNNNNNNNNNNNNNNNNNNNNNNNUCGUGAGAUGUUGGGUUAAGUCCCGCAACGAGCGCAACCCUCGCCGCCUGUUGUAUCCCUCAGGCGGGACUGCCGAGAGAAACUCGGAGGAAGGUGGGGAUGACGUCAAGUCCGCGUGGCCCUUAUGCCUGGGGCUACACGCACGCUACAAUCGCCGGUCACAGCGGGUCGCAACUGCGCGAGCAGGAGCUAAUCCCUUAAAACCGGCGUCAGUUCAGAUCGGAGGCUGAAACUCGCCUCCGUGAAGUCG
RNAcentral lists this ribosomal RNA (1341 nucleotides) under Chloroflexi bacterium RIFCSPLOWO2_02_FULL_71_16. RNAcentral's name for it is "partial 16S ribosomal RNA". It matches the Rfam family "Bacterial small subunit ribosomal RNA", at positions 8 to 1328 of the family's 1533-position model. Lineage: Bacteria; Bacillati; Chloroflexota. The record is from RNAcentral.